UUGCUCCUCUGACGUUAGCGGCGGACGGGUGAGUAACACGUGGAUAACCUACCUAUAAGACUGGGAUAACUUCGGGAAACCGGAGCUAAUACCGGAUAAUAUAUUGAACCGCAUGGUUCAAUAGUGAAAGACGGUUUUGCUGUCACUUAUAGAUGGAUCCGCGCCGCAUUAGCUAGUUGGUAAGGUAACGGCUUACCAAGGCAACGAUGCGUAGCCGACCUGAGAGGGUGAUCGGCCACACUGGAACUGAGACACGGUCCAGACUCCUACGGGAGGCAGCAGUAGGGAAUCUUCCGCAAUGGGCGAAAGCCUGACGGAGCAACGCCGCGUGAGUGAUGAAGGUCUUCGGAUCGUAAAACUCUGUUAUUAGGGAAGAACAAAUGUGUAAGUAACUAUGCACGUCUUGACGGUACCUAAUCAGAAAGCCACGGCUAACUACGUGCCAGCAGCCGCGGUAAUACGUAGGUGGCAAGCGUUAUCCGGAAUUAUUGGGCGUAAAGCGCGCGUAGGCGGUUUUUUAAGUCUGAUGUGAAAGCCCACGGCUCAACCGUGGAGGGUCAUUGGAAACUGGAAAACUUGAGUGCAGAAGAGGAAAGUGGAAUUCCAUGUGUAGCGGUGAAAUGCGCAGAGAUAUGGAGGAACACCAGUGGCGAAGGCGACUUUCUGGUCUGUAACUGACGCUGAUGUGCGAAAGCGUGGGGAUCAAACAGGAUUAGAUACCCUGGUAGUCCACGCCGUAAACGAUGAGUGCUAAG
RNAcentral lists this ribosomal RNA (755 nucleotides) under Staphylococcus epidermidis. RNAcentral describes it as "bacterial SSU rRNA". It matches the Rfam family "Bacterial small subunit ribosomal RNA", at positions 80 to 820 of the family's 1533-position model. The record is from RNAcentral. Lineage: Bacteria; Bacillati; Bacillota; Bacilli; Caryophanales; Staphylococcaceae.